This 303-nucleotide ribosomal RNA is filed under the name uncultured bacterium. RNAcentral describes it as "partial 16S ribosomal RNA". It matches the Rfam family "Bacterial small subunit ribosomal RNA", at positions 507 to 807 of the family's 1533-position model. The record is from RNAcentral.
AGCAGUCGCCGCGGUAAUACGGAGGGGGCUAGCGUUGUUCGGAAUUACUGGGCGUAAAGCGCACGUAGGCGGCUUUGUAAGUCAGAGGUGAAAGCCUGGAGCUCAACUCCAGAAUUGCCUUUGAGACUGCAUCGCUUGAAUCCGGGAGAGGUGAGUGGAGUUCCGAGUGUAGAGGUGAAAUUCGUAGAUAUUCGGAAGAACACCAGUGGCGAAGGCGGCUCACUGGACCGGAAUUGACGCUGAGGUGCGAAAGCGUGGGGAGCAAACAGGAUUAGAUACCCGCGUAGUCCCUGUCUCUUAUAC